AUUAAAAUAGCUCAAAGUUAGAGUUUUGCAUUGAAGCUGCAAAGGUGGUCAAGGCCUUUUAAUA
RNAcentral lists this transfer RNA (64 nucleotides) under Chthamalus antennatus. RNAcentral describes it as "tRNA-Phe". It matches the Rfam family "tRNA". From Rfam's summary of the family: Transfer RNA (tRNA) molecules are approximately 80 nucleotides in length. Their secondary structure includes four short double-helical elements and three loops (D, anti-codon, and T loops). Lineage: Eukaryota; Metazoa; Arthropoda; Thecostraca; Balanomorpha; Chthamalidae. The record is from RNAcentral.